Molecule: microRNA, 23 nt
Filed under: Drosophila ananassae
Lineage: Eukaryota; Metazoa; Arthropoda; Insecta; Diptera; Drosophilidae
Also listed under: 4 other names
Description: Dan-Mir-29-P1_3p (mature (guide))
Source: RNAcentral
UAGCACCAUUCGAAAUCAGUGCU